AGCCAAAUAUAUGCUGAGAUUUUGAAGUGAAAAUACUCUCCCAAAGUUUAUUCAAGCACCCGCCAUAUUUACUUAAUUUUUAAAACUUUCGAUUCUUCAUAUACUUCGUUAUAUACACAAGGUUUUAAACCCCGAGGUUUCGUACCACCCAACCAAGCCACAUCUCGCUUAGCUCAUUCUUAUACCACUCUUUUGUCCUCCCGAAGGGCUGUCUAAAGUUCGUGUGCAAAGCCAAAAUCCGGUCGAACCUCCGACGAAUUUUUUCGGCAAACUUUUUGUAAGUGGUUAUUUUAGCUUCGUUUUUAUUCAUGUCUUAACCGAGCAUUUUUGACAAAGGGCUUUUGAACAAAAAUAUUAUCUUCAUCUUUAAAGCUCUCUUUGGUCACAAAACGCACGAGUUAGCCACUCGUUAUAUAUUUGUGCGUGUGUUUUGUCCCGGAACCUAACUCGUAUCCUUUGAGAUUUCCUCACCAAAUUUGGAGGGAUCUUUGCCUUCGCACCAAAAGCCGGAUAUAAGGCCAAAGGUGAUAAGUUAGUUAUUGUUGUGCUUAUAAUCUGUGCUUAACUGUUAUAUCCCUACGCCCAACAUACCCUUCUUGUUUAGUGAGACACCCAUUUUUCAGCCCUGUGCUUGGUAGGGAUAUCAUUAAGAUAAGUUACGUGGUUCCCAAUCCCGUGUGUGUGAGUGUGAUUAUCGACCGCGUCAUAUAUCUAUAAAUCACUCAACAUUAAUUAAUAUAACCCUCGUAGCGUGCUCGUACGUGGUGUGCUCAAGUUAUUAAAAUCAAUACUAUUAAAAUCAACUAUUUAUAUUUUCCGCGCGAUAUAAAUUGUUGGACUAAUCAUUGUUACUACUGUUAUAAUCGACGAACCUUUAUAAUUGACUGUGAUUAGUGGAUUGAUAUUGCGGACCAAAGUCUUAUUAAACCAAAGGACAUAUUCGUAGAUAUUGUAUUCUAACUUUUGCAGUGAGGUGAAGUGAAGUGAGGUGAUCUUCGUUCUAAGACCCAAGUCCUUGACGUAUUGACCGGGAGUUAAUAGUCAUUGCACCGUGAAGAAGUGAAAAGACCCGAGAUCUAAUACCUAAGACCCGAGACCGGCAAAAGACUUAGAAGUACAAAGACUACACAAGGUUCUACAUCGACUUUGAGGAAGUAACGGGGAGUUACGUUCCAAGACAAGCUUUGUAGGUGUUUUUACAUUUAUAGUGAGGAGGUAACGGGGAGUUACGCUCCAAGAUAUAUAUUUGUAAAGGCUUCUCCGCCUACUUUAAAAGAGUAUCUUUUUAGUAGAGAAAAUCUCGAGUCCGGGGAGGAGAUCGGGGACUGUACUAGGGGUGAGUGGACUCCAUCGGUUGAAUUAGCCACCGCGAACCAGGAUAAAAUCCCUCGUGUGGUAUUUUUCGUUCUUUGCUCUUUGCUUCCGCAUUUACAACUGCCAUUACUCUAGAUACAAGCUUUUAAAAAGGGGAUAAACUUUUUAAAACGCCAUAAAGUUUUUAAAUUGGUGAUUAAGCUAUUCAACCCCCCCUUCCCCUUCUAGCUUAAUUAUGCUUGAAUAAGGACCUAACAUAGUUAAAAAUGGUAAUUAAAAAUUGGGUUUUUAGUUUUUAGGCUAAUUUGGUUUGUAUCAGAGUAGAUCUCUCUAUCUCUUUCUAUAUAUAUAUAUAUAUAUAUGAGAACUUUCUUAAAAUGAGAACCGUGAGAAUUUUUUUAAUUUAUCAAAAUCUCAUUUAUUUGAAGGGCCCCGCCAGGGGCACCUUCACAAAGAAUGUAUAUCAUUAAGGUCUCCACCUAGCUAGCCAAAAAAAAUAAAUAAAAAAUCACUGAUGACGUGGCAGUGGACUUUUUUGUUUGAUUUUUUUUUUUGACUAGCUAGGGAGAGACUAGUUUUAUAUACAUUUUUUAUAUUGGGUUCCCACUAGUUUGAUGUUUAGAUUAGCCAAAAUAUGAUAAAUUAAGGAAGUUCUCACGGUUCUCAUUUUAAGAAGUUCUCGCUGGAGUAACCCUCUAUAUAUAUAUAUAUAUAUAUAUAUAUAUAUAUAUAUAUAUAU
RNAcentral lists this long non-coding RNA (2053 nucleotides) under Daucus carota (carrot). RNAcentral describes it as "long non-coding RNA (DCAR_LNC006687)". Lineage: Eukaryota; Viridiplantae; Streptophyta; Magnoliopsida; Apiales; Apiaceae. The record is from RNAcentral.